AAAUCAUUUCGAUACGAUUAGAUAUUAGAGGGUGAAGUGAAGUGUAGAAAUAAAGACUCCAUUUUUAGGCUAAUUUUUGCCAGAGAUUUCUUUGAGGUAGUUAAACUUUCUCACAGACUAUUGGCUGUUGAUUGCUUCUCCUAUGUCCAAUCGGAUGGUGCUUAGCUACACCAAUUCAUUUGCAGUAUUUAGACCUAAAUUUAAUGGCCAUUUCAUUCCCUCCAUAUACCACUCUGAUGUGUUAUCCUUGACGAGGCAUGUGUCUUCCACAACUGCUCUCUCCUUUUGUCAGCUUCAGGCAUCAAAACUUCAUGACAGUCCAGUUACUGUUGCAAGUGAUGUUAGAUAUGGUAGUAAACAGAUUAUAAGUGUUGAUUCGACACUGUAUGACUACAUAUUGACCAAUGUUAGGGAACCAAAGAUUUUGCGUGAACUUAGGGAGGAGACAGCAACAAUGCGAGGUAGUCAGAUGCAGGUGUCACCGGAUCAAGCACAAUUACUUGCUAUGCUCGUCCAGAUUCUUGGGGCAAAAAGGUGCAUUGAAGUGGGAACAUAUACUGGAUAUUCAUCCUUGGCUGUUGCCUUGGUCCUUCCAGAAGGGGGUCAUUUAGUUGCUUGUGACAGAGAUGGCAAAGCAAUUGAGGUUGCAAAAAGAUAUUAUGACCGAGCUGGUGUGUCACAUAAGGUGGAUGUGCGACAUGGUCUAGCAGCAGAUACUUUGAAGUCUUUGAUUCAAAAUGGUGAAAGUUGCAGAUAUGAUUUUGCAUUUAUUGACGCAGAAAAGAAAAUGUAUCAAGAGUACUUUGAGUUGCUGCUACAACUGGUGCGUUGCACGUCUAAAAUUACUGCAUUGUUUACUAAACCUGGCAAUCUGAAGUUGUAAAAGCCAUUCCCUUCACAGGUAAAUGAUUCCAAGACUCUUAGCAUUAGAAACUUUAAUGAAAACUUGAUGAAGGAUAACCGCGUCGACAUCAGUAUGGUGCCUAUUGGUGAUGGUAUGACAAUUUGUAGAAAAAGAUGAAGCAUAAAAAAAGAGAUUGGAUAUUGAACUACCUUAGCCAAGCCAUUUUAUGCUUGUUUAGCCUAAGUUUCUAGUGUAAUAUUUUGUUGUUUCACUUAUUCAUUUGUAAGAGAGUGUAAAUUUACGGCGCGAAUCCAGAUUUAGUAGGGCUCCAAUGUGGGUACCAGACAUCGGGUUGAAAAUCAAAAAAUAUAUAUAUAUUUGACUUCUCACCUUGGACUU
Molecule: RNA transcript, 1243 nt
Organism: Solanum pennellii
Lineage: Eukaryota; Viridiplantae; Streptophyta; Magnoliopsida; Solanales; Solanaceae
Gene name: O-methyltransferase MdmC-like
Exons: 9
Source: RefSeq, a predicted model, not a curated record